RNAcentral lists this non-coding RNA (27 nucleotides) under Rattus norvegicus (Norway rat). The record is from RNAcentral. Lineage: Eukaryota; Metazoa; Chordata; Mammalia; Rodentia; Muridae.
GACACCCCAGUUUUUCCUGUCAGGUGU